UAUUCAUAUACAUACAUACAUACUAACUGCCUACUUGAGCAUGCAUGCGCUGAAAUUAUAAGGUAACAAACAAUCAUACGCUCCAUUCUGAUUAAAGUAAGGGAAAAUAAUAGAUGAUUUAUACUGAUUUAAGUAACAAAAGUUAUGCUUUUUAAGGAAGAGGAAAUGAAAUGAUUUAGAUAUUAAAAAUGUCAAAGUUUUGGGAAGUAUACAUUAACGAUUGUUAUUGUCUUUGCAACUUCUGUUUGAUGCAGAACAUGAAUUGCAGUAAAAUUUACUCCUUAUUCUCUAGAUGCUGGCUGAUGCAGAGAAAGGAAAAGAUUGUUCAAUAGACUUGAGUAUGUGCUGAUAACUGUGAAACAUUUUCUUUGGUUUCUUUGUCUGAUAAUAAUUUUCAAUUUGUAUAUGAUUUCCACGUUUGGUCUUCACUCCAUUUUUCUACAUCAUCACUGAAGGGACAUGUUGAACCUUUGGCUUUUUUUUUGUUGCAGAAACUUGAUAUAUGUAAUGGGUUGUCUGCUUAGUUCAUUUUUGUUCCUUCAAGUGUUUGUACUUAUGUGAUGUUUGUUGAUUUUGUUGUUUAGUUUGACCAACAAUAUUAUUUUUACUUCAAUACAUUUGUUUUAUCAUGUUGGAUUUGUUUUGUAUUUCUUAAAACUUUAUCUUUCAGACCACUCUUCCAUAUAUUGUUUAGGCGAGAAUAUAAUUUGAUGAUUUAGAGAUAAUAUAUGUGGUUCUUUUUAUCUUCAUGGAUUUGUGAAAUGUGGUGUGGUAACAACUCUAAUGGUACUCUUUCAAACCACUCUUCCAAUUUCUCUAUUUUUUCUUUGUUUCAUUUUAGAUUCUGUUCUUUAUUUUGGAUUUAAGUUUCACAUGAUAUAUUAUACUAAAAGAAACUAUUUUUUCCUUUGCAUACCUUGCAUUGAUUUCUAAUGUUCCUAUUAUGAUAGAUUUGUAAAUUGGCAGAGAUGAAGAAAUCUCUGUCAGAUUGCUUCUUUUUCGCAACAACGGCGGCAGCCUCCGACAUAGAGGUAAGGACCGGAACCGUCCUCCGGUUCUGUCUCCGAUAAUUGACAAAGAAUUUUCCGGCAUCGUGUUGUUCAAGCAAUGGUUCUGUUGGAAUCACUGAAGAAGGAAUCAAAUCAUUAGAUCUAGAGGUUAGAAAAAUUGAAUUUGAAGAAUUGUUACUACUACAAUUGUAAUGUUUUUUCACUCAUUAUUAUUCAUGAUUUCAUUCUAAUUUUUAUUAAAUUUAUUGUAACGCAUUAAACUUUCUAUUUACAUGUGGAGAGAGCACAAGUUGAAACGUCGACGUGUAAUUGCCGUGAAGAAAAAACACGGAGGUUAGUUUUUGAAAUUGCUGAUUUAUAUUUUUCAGCAUAGUCUCCAUGUAUAUGAAUUAGUGCAGAGCUGAUUCUUCAAUAUGUUAAUGUUAAUUUUGUCUUGAUUCAUGUAAUGUGGAUUAAUCUUUUUUUCCCUUAGAGUUUAGCAUAUGAUUUUGUGUAAGGUUUUUGAAUUAAUUUUCAAAUUUGGUCGUUUGAUUUGUGAAGUUAAGUGGCACGUGUAUUAUAUGUUGAUGUUAAUUUUAGCUAUGAUGUUGUUGAUUGGUGCAGCUGAUUUUAUGAAAAUAAGAAUUUUUUAUGUUGUAUAUUUUAAUUGGAUUUUUUGUGACUUUGAUAUAGGCAAGAGGCAGGCUGAGUUAUUUUUUAAGAAUUAAGAUUAUUUUUUCUACUUGAUUGUUUGCUUUUCACAUGUUAGUUAUUCUUGAUUUGAUUAUCCAUUUGAUUUCCUCCAUGACUAUCGAUAAACUAUGUUUAAUAAAGCUAUGUUUACAUUGUUGCACUUGGUUGUGGAAUUGAAACCAAUGACAAAUCAUGCUGGUAACAUUCAAUGUAGUUAUCUUUUUAUCUCAGAUAUGAUGAAUUUCCAAAUUUUAUGCAGGGAACUUUAGAUUGUAGGAUAUGAUAGAAGAUUAUCAAUUUGGUUUGGGGCCUUAGAUCUAUAUGAAGUUAUCAACCAAAUUAAUGGAAAAAAGGAGUUGUGAUUAUUUUUGAAUUAUUGUUUAGAGGAAGAGAGAAAUAGAUUGAGUCUAUGUAUUGAUGUUUUUCUUUAAACUAUAUCCUAAUGUACUCUUGCAUCCUUAUUGUGCAUUGAAACUUUUUUUCUUCAUAUUGUCAUGAUAAUGAUAAUUUAUGUGGUUAGUUUUGUAAAUUGAAUUUGGCUUCAUAUGAUAUAAUGAGAUUGGCCUAUAAAAGUCUUAUACAUUGAAGGUUGAUGAGAGGAAAGGAAGGUAGAAAUAAUUCUCAUAUGUUGAAGAAUACAGGAAUUGGAGGAAUUCUAUUUUGGAACUUGCUAUCAUGUCCUUCACAAAAUUCUUCUAU
Molecule: long non-coding RNA, 2381 nt
Filed under: Trifolium pratense (red clover)
Lineage: Eukaryota; Viridiplantae; Streptophyta; Magnoliopsida; Fabales; Fabaceae
Description: long non-coding RNA (TPRA_LNC012517)
Source: RNAcentral